UCGCCCGCCGCGCCCCGCGCCCCGUCUCGCCCGCCGCGCCCCGCGCCCGUCCCGACGCCCCCGGCCUCCUACGGGAGGCAGCAGUGGGGAAUAUUGCACAAUGGGGGGAACCAUGAUGCAGCAACGCCGCGUGGGGGAUGACACAUUUCGGUGCGUAAACUCCUUUCAUAUAGGAAGAUAAUG
This 183-nucleotide ribosomal RNA is filed under the name uncultured bacterium. Its description in RNAcentral is "partial 16S ribosomal RNA". It matches the Rfam family "Bacterial small subunit ribosomal RNA", at positions 301 to 453 of the family's 1533-position model. The record is from RNAcentral.